Solenopsis invicta (red fire ant) is the source of this 2008-nucleotide long non-coding RNA. RefSeq lists it as uncharacterized. Lineage: Eukaryota; Metazoa; Arthropoda; Insecta; Hymenoptera; Formicidae. The transcript is spliced from 2 exons. The record is from RefSeq and is a predicted model, not a curated record.
GGACGGUGCCAAGCUGAUUCGCGAAUUUUGGCACGACACGUCUUGGCGAUCCGCGCGCGAAGGUUCAAGUGUAACGUGCACAUGGAUACACGGAUGCAUGCACACAAACACACGCGCGCGCGAUGUGCAUCUUUCAGCGAGCGUUGCAUUCGACCGAACGAACGAACGAACGACGCGUCCCUGGUAUUAAUAGUCUAAUUACAUCACGCUUCAACGAAGGUAAAUACGAGCGAAGAGACAGCGACUGUAAAUCGUCUCGGAAAGCGGCAGCAACAUUGUAACGCGUUGCGAAAGAACGGAGUGUUUGCGUCGCAGAGCGCACCGUUGGCGAUCAAUCGGCUUCGCAUCGAGCCUCCGGCGCAUUGUUCAGAGGAAACGUCGAAGGGAGAAAGAGAGAGAGAGAGAGAGAUGUGCUAACGCACAUAUUAUAUGUAUAUCGUACAACUAUAUGAUUAACUAUACCGAAUGCCGAGUUUCCGCGAGUGCGAGCAGUUUUUCGGUCGUCGCGAUCGAAGGCAGAGUGCAUUAAAAUUGCGCAUAGCCGGGCACACGGGCACACUUUGCCCGUCGAUACGUGUCGCUCAAGUUCAAUAUCGCUUCGCGCACAUCGUCCGCGCGGGAUAUUGCGUCACCGUUCGAAGAUAAAUUCUGAAUCACGGCGGAAAAAGGAGGGAAGGGCCGUUUAUGAGAAAUUAGUAAAGCCGGGUACUUUGUUCUCGACGAGAGCAUUGUUUCGGUCGCCGCGCGCACGUGUCGUUUCGUGACCUCUUCUUAAUAUAAACCUCCGAAUCGACCGCGUGUUUCUCCGUUUCCUCGUAUAAUACGAAUCGAGUCACGCAUUUGCGUGUAACGGCAAACGCGAAUCUCACUGUACGACAAAGGGUUUAGAGAGGAGGAGAGAAGGAGAGAGAAAUGCAACGAGAGAGAAACUUCGGAGCAAAGACUUUACGUAAUUUUCAUUGUAGCAAUUUGAACUUCGUAAACAAGAGCUUUCGAGAUAGAUCACUUGUUGAUCACGCCUAUAAACGACAAUCUUCGACUUUGCUCCGUGUUUUCUCACCUCUAUUCAGAAUCACGUGGAUUCAUCGUGAAUUUAUGUGAAUCUAACACGAUCCCGGCCGUUUCAAAUGCGGCACGCGACGAACGCGUGCUGAGUAACGUGAAAAAUGUGCAACACUUUGUUAUGGGAAAGAAGAUUGCUGGUCAUUGGAAAUUAAAGUGAAGAAAUCGUAUCGGAUUGCUAAUUGCCGAUCCAACGAUUGUGACACAAUCGAUAAAUAUAACACGAUGUAAGUGUAAUGAUAUCGCAACGACUGCAACUCGCGGGGGGGGGGGAACUUCUAUCGCAACAAAGAAGAAAAAGAAGAGAGAGAGAGAGAGAGAGAGAGAGAGAGAGAGAGAAAACGCAUCUCUAAUUCUCAUCCCCGUCCUCGAUCGAAGCUUCCGUAUAGUUGGGCUUCCCAACUCCGAGAACGCGCGCCACGUGUUAAAAUGAUCACGUCAGUAUCGAAAUAAACGCCUGCUUCUUUUAGCCACGCGGUCACGCUUCUCUCUCUCUCUCUCUCUCUCUUUUUCUCGCCGCAUUCAGAGGAUCUCGAGCGCGAGGCGAGAGAUGGUGAAAAAGAGGUUCUAAAAGAGACGCGAGGUGCGUUAUACGUCCACUUACUCUGCCAUGGCGCACGUCGUCGUUGGUUGGCCUCUUCCCCGAUGAGGUGUGUACGGUACGCGUAUAAUAUAAAUGUGGUACGGUAUAUAUCACAGUCCGCUGAUCACAGGUGUAUCACCACGUGGUACGUGGCUCAUUGCCCCCCGUUUGGGACUCGCCACCCCGCUCGGGCCGGUGGUCGUCCGCGAACCCCCUUUCGCGGGGCUUUCGGUGUUUUUAUUUUAUUUUAAUUUUUUUUCGAGGAUGUCGAGGAUCCCCGAGAGCUUUACUCUCAGAGACUGGCCAGGAGGCCGAUCGUGCGUCCGAUCACGUAAAAGCCCACGAGGGUCCUCCUCCUCCGCG